UAAAAAGUAGUGUAGCGGGUGCACUGAGAAUUUUGAUUUCUUUAGGAUAGGUUCAAGUCCUAUUUUUUUAA
This 71-nucleotide transfer RNA is filed under the name Dicamptodon aterrimus (Idaho giant salamander). RNAcentral's name for it is "tRNA-Gln". It matches the Rfam family "tRNA". From Rfam's summary of the family: Transfer RNA (tRNA) molecules are approximately 80 nucleotides in length. Lineage: Eukaryota; Metazoa; Chordata; Amphibia; Caudata; Dicamptodontidae. The record is from RNAcentral.